Molecule: unclassified non-coding RNA, 341 nt
Filed under: soil metagenome
Description: partial contains 5.8S ribosomal RNA, internal transcribed spacer 2, and large subunit ribosomal RNA
Rfam family: 5.8S ribosomal RNA (bases 1-120)
Source: RNAcentral
GAUGAAGAACGUAGCGAAAUGCGAUAAGUAAUGUGAAUUGCAGAAUUCAGUGAAUCAUCGAAUCUUUGAACGCACAUUGCGCCCCUUGGUAUUCCGAGGGGCAUGCCUGUUCGAGCGUCAUUAUAACCCCUCAAGCUCAGCUUGGUGUUGGGGAUCAGCUUUCCCUGUGGGAGCUGGCCCUUAAAUCUAGUGGCGGUCUCGCUGUAGCCUCCUCUGCGUAGUAGCAAUAUCUCGCAGGCGGAGAGCGGCUUGACCACGCCGUUAAACCCCCAAUUUAUCAAGGUUGACCUCGGAUCAGGUAGGAAUACCCGCUGAACUUAAGCAUAUCAAUAAGCGGAGGA